AUUGAACGCUGGCGGCAGGCUUAACACAUGCAAGUCGAGCGGGGGAAGGUAGCUUGCUACCGGACCUAGCGGCGGACGGGUGAGUAAUGCUUAGGAAUCUGCCUAUUAGUGGGGGACAACAUCUCGAAAGGGAUGCUAAUACCGCAUACGUCCUACGGGAGAAAGCAGGGGAUCUUCGGACCUUGCGCUAAUAGAUGAGCCUAAGUCGGAUUAGCUAGUUGGUGGGGUAAAGGCCUACCAAGGCGACGAUCUGUAGCGGGUCUGAGAGGAUGAUCCGCCACACUGGGACUUAGACACGGCCCAGACUCCUACUGGAGGCAGCAGUGGGGAAUAUUGGACAAUGGGGGGAAUCCUGAUCCAGCCAUGCCGCGUGUGUGAAGAAGGCCUUAUGGUUGUAAAGCACUUUAAGCGAGGAGGAGGCUACUUUAGUUAAUACCUAGAGAUAGUGGACGUUACUCGCAGAAUAAGCACCGGCUAACUCUGUGCCAGCCGCCGCAGUAA
This 501-nucleotide ribosomal RNA is filed under the name uncultured bacterium. RNAcentral's name for it is "partial 16S ribosomal RNA". It matches the Rfam family "Bacterial small subunit ribosomal RNA", at positions 30 to 523 of the family's 1533-position model. The record is from RNAcentral.